GGAAGGGGUGUAUUUAUUAGAUAAAAAACCAAUGCCCUUCGGGGCUCCUUGGUGAAUCAUAAUAACUUAACGAAUCGCAUGGCCUUGCGCCGGCGAUGGUUCAUUCAAAUUUCUGCCCUAUCAACUUUCGAUGGUAGGAUAGUGGCCUACCAUGGUGGCAACGGGUAACGGGGAAUUAGGGUUCGAUUCCGGAGAGGGAGCCUGAGAAACGGCUACCCCAUCCAAGGAAGGCAGCAGGCGCGCAAAUUACCCAAUCCCGACACGGGGAGGUAGUGACAAUAAAUACUGAUACGGGGCUCUUUUGGGUCUCGUAAUUGGAAUGAGUACAAUCUAAAUCCCUUAACGAGGAACAAUUGGAGGGCAAGUCUGGUGCCAGCAGCCGCGGUAAUUCCAGCUCCAAUAGCGUAUAUUAAAGUUGUUGCAGUUAAAAAGCUCGUAGUUGAACCUUGGGUCUGGCUGGCCGGUCCGCCUCACCGCGAGUACUGGUCCGGCUGGACCUUUCCUUCUGGGGAAUCUCAUGGCCCUCACUGGCUGUGGGGGGAACCAGGACUUUUAC
RNAcentral lists this ribosomal RNA (556 nucleotides) under uncultured Aspergillus. RNAcentral's name for it is "SSU rRNA". It matches the Rfam family "Eukaryotic small subunit ribosomal RNA", at positions 194 to 755 of the family's 1831-position model. The record is from RNAcentral. Lineage: Eukaryota; Fungi; Ascomycota; Eurotiomycetes; Eurotiales; Aspergillaceae.